RNAcentral lists this long non-coding RNA (769 nucleotides) under Brassica rapa (field mustard). Its description in RNAcentral is "long non-coding RNA (BRAP_LNC003318)". The record is from RNAcentral. Lineage: Eukaryota; Viridiplantae; Streptophyta; Magnoliopsida; Brassicales; Brassicaceae.
GAAACUCUUCAAAAAAAAACAUAUUUUAAAUAUAAUGAUAAAUACAAUACAAUGUAUAAUGAAGUAAUAUAUAUAUAUAUAAAGAAAAUAAUAAAGAAAAUAAUUUACUAAAUUAAAUCACUUAAACUUAGCACAAAUAAAUUAAAUAAUUUUAUUCAUUUACAAAAAACUACAAAAUAUUCAAUCAAAACUGUAAAAAUUAAGAAACUAAUAGAAAAAAAAAUAAAACUAAACUAUUUAUGUAAUAGUAAACAAAGACGUAGAUUACAUAUGCAUCAAAGAUAUCUGCUUUACACCUAUGCAACGACCUUAACGAAUUAAAAUAUUUGAAACAGAAUUUUAUAGUUAUAUAUUUAAUUGUUUAUUUAGAAUAUAAACAAUUAGAUUUAUAAUUUCACUAUUUUACUCGGUUCUUAUAAAUUAUUUCUAGCCUAACAUUUACCGUAACGAAAUGCAAUCAUGUUGACCCAAUAUUCAUACAAAUGAUAAUCAAGAGAACCACAAACUUAUUCUUAAGAACUUAAAAUAUAGUAAACCACAGUUAACCAACCAAUUUUGGAUUCAAAAUAAUCAAAAACCAUAAAAGGAGAGCACCACAUACACCUCAUUCACUCAAUAUAAUAAUGUUAUACGUCGUAAUCUAUUAAUAUAGACACAAACAUCAAACUCAAAUAUAACUAAUCUUAACAUAUAUAAUCCUUCAACACCCUAACAUUCUCAAAAACUAUAAACAUUAUUAUAUACUUCUCUUAUCAAAAGUUUACAAAAC